UGAACGCUGGCGGCGUGCCUAAUACAUGCAAGUCGAGCGAACAGACGAGGAGCUUGCUCCUCUGACGUUAGCGGCGGACGGGUGAGUAACACGUGGAUAACCUACCUAUAAGACUGGGAUAACUUCGGGAAACCGGAGCUAAUACCGGAUAAUAUAUUGACCCGCAUGGUUCAAUAGUGAAAGACGGUUUUGCUGUCACUUAUAGAUGGAUCCGCGCCGCAUUAGCUAGUUGGUAAGGUAACGGCUUACCAAGGCAACGAUGCGUAGCCGACCUGAGAGGGUGAUCGGCCACACUGGAACUGAGACACGGUCCAGACUCCUACGGGAGGCAGCAGUAGGGAAUCUUCCGCAAUGGGCGAAAGCCUGACGGAGCAACGCCGCGUGAGUGAUGAAGGUCUUCGGAUCGUAAAACUCUGUUAUUAGGGAAGAACAAAUGUGUAAGUAACUAUGCACGUCUUGACGGUACCUAAUCAGAAAGCCACGGCUAACUACGUG
RNAcentral lists this ribosomal RNA (495 nucleotides) under uncultured bacterium. RNAcentral describes it as "partial 16S ribosomal RNA". It matches the Rfam family "Bacterial small subunit ribosomal RNA", at positions 30 to 507 of the family's 1533-position model. The record is from RNAcentral.